Phyllostomus hastatus (greater spear-nosed bat) is the source of this 627-nucleotide non-coding RNA. Lineage: Eukaryota; Metazoa; Chordata; Mammalia; Chiroptera; Phyllostomidae. The record is from the annotation of a RefSeq genome assembly.
CUGGGACUCCUGGCAGCUCAGCCACACGCGUUCUUCUCCCUCCGAGCUGUGACCCUGCCCGUCUGCUUCUGAUCUGAUGCUCUGGGGAAGGGGCGUGUCCCCGUGUGACCAGCUGGCGCUGGGGCCCAGGCAGCGGGAGUGACACCUCAGAGAGACUCCCUGGACAGCCCUGCUCCUGUGCAGCCUCCCACAGACCCAGAGGGACCCUGAGUCAGCCCGGAUCGUACCAUGAGCGGCGGCCUCCUGUGCUGCGUGGCCUUGUGUCUCCUCCGUGCAGGUCUGGGGAUGGCCGGCGUCACUCAGUCCCCGACAUUCCAGGUCGUGACAACAGGACAGACAGUGACCUUGAGUUGUGCCCAGGACUUGAACCAUGACAACAUGUACUGGUACCGACAGGACCUGGGUCAUGGGCUGAGGCUGAUCCAUUACUCAGUGGGUGUUGGGUUCGAGGACAAAGGAGAUGUCCCCGAUGGGUACAGCGUCUCUAGAUCAGAUAUAAAGAACUUCCCCCUCACGCUGGAGUCGGCCACCCCCUCCCAGACAUCUGUGUACUUCUGCGCCAGCAGUGAACCCACAGUGCUGCACGGCCGCCUCCUCUCUGCACAGAAAGCUGGGGUUGCCCUCUAG